This 497-nucleotide ribosomal RNA is filed under the name uncultured bacterium. RNAcentral describes it as "partial 16S ribosomal RNA". It matches the Rfam family "Bacterial small subunit ribosomal RNA", at positions 28 to 507 of the family's 1533-position model. The record is from RNAcentral.
GAUGAACGCUGGCGGCGUGCCUAAUACAUGCCAGUCGAGCGAACAGACGAGGAGCUUGCUCCUCUGACGUUAGCGGCGGACGGGUGAGUAACACGUGGAUCACCUCCCUAUAAGACUGGGAUAACUUCGGGAAACCGGAGCUAAUACCGUAUAAUAUAUUGAACCGCAUGGUUCAAUAGUGAAAGACGGUUUUGCUGUCACUUAUAGAUGGAUCCGCGCCGCAUUAGCUAGUUGGUAAGGUAACGGCUUACCAAGGCAACGAUGCGUAGCCGACCUGAGAGGGUGAUAGGCCACACUGGAACUGAGACACGGUCCAGACUCCUACGGGAGGCAGCAGUAGGGAAUCUUCCGCAAUGGGCGAAAGCCUGACGGAGCAACGCCGCGUGAGUGAUGAAGGUCUUCGGAUCGUAAAACUCUGUUAUUAGGGAAGAACAAAUGUGUAAGUAACUAUGCACGUCUUGACGGUACCUAAUCAGAAAGCCACGGCUAACUACGUG